UGGGGAUUCGUCUAGUGGUAAGACGACAGACUCUGGCUCUGUAAACCGAGGUUCGAGUCCUCGAUCCCCAGCCA
This 74-nucleotide transfer RNA is filed under the name Chloroflexota bacterium. RNAcentral's name for it is "Chloroflexi bacterium tRNA-Gln". It matches the Rfam family "tRNA". Rfam says of the family: Transfer RNA (tRNA) molecules are approximately 80 nucleotides in length. Their secondary structure includes four short double-helical elements and three loops (D, anti-codon, and T loops). Lineage: Bacteria; Bacillati; Chloroflexota. RNAcentral also lists the same sequence under 2 other names. The record is from RNAcentral.